UAAGAUUACUCUCUUCCUGAAGGAGGAUCAACUUGAGUAUCUUGAGGAGCGCCGUCUGAAAGACUUGAUCAAGAAGCACUCUGAGUUCAUUAGCUACCCAAUCUCUCUGUGGGUUGAGAAAACCACCGAGAAGGAGAUCUCUGAUGAUGAGGAUGAGGAAGAGAAGAAGGAUGAAGAGGGGAAAGUUGAAGAUGUUGAUGAGGAGAAGGAGAAAGAAGAAAAGAAGAAAAAGAAGAUCAAGGAAGUGUCUCAUGAGUGGUCUUUGGUGAACAAGCAGAAGCCCAUCUGGAUGCGGAAGCCUGAGGAAAUCACCAAGGAAGAGUAUGCUGCUUUCUAUAAG
RNAcentral lists this long non-coding RNA (340 nucleotides) under Carica papaya (papaya). RNAcentral describes it as "long non-coding RNA (CPAP_LNC011769)". Lineage: Eukaryota; Viridiplantae; Streptophyta; Magnoliopsida; Brassicales; Caricaceae. The record is from RNAcentral.